GUCCCAGGACUGCUGCAGCUAACUCUGCAUCACCUUGCAGUUCAGACACUGCUUCCUUUCUGCAGUCCUCUCUCUCUCUCUUCUAUUUUCCUCCUCUCUUUGGUCCUUCGCAGUUCCCCCCACCUUUCUGGUCACUUUCUUUUCUUAUCUGUCAUCUACCCCUUGUUUUACUUUAUCAAUAUGUACCGGAACCCUUGGAUCUCCAACUAUAUCAACCAUGUCAAGUUGUGCCAAGGCUUCACAGGAGAAACAGCCCCUAAAGUUGGCAAUACCAAACUACAACGGAGAGCUCUUAGCUUCCAGAAAGAGUUCUCGUUUGAGGAGAAAGACGAGGGAGUCAACAAAGAAUUAGAUGUCAGUCUGCUGGCAAAUACACCCAAGGUCUCAGAAUUAAGGAAACGUUUUGAGAGUAUAAGCACAAGUCAGAGUUGGGACAUGAACAGGAAAGAACGAAUUGCACGGCGUCUGGAGGGAAUCGAUAGUGAUGUUCUCCAAAAUAUCCCAGGUUGUGGCGGUCUAGUAACCAAUCGAAUGCUAGAGGAGGACACUCCAAGAUAUACCCGCGCAGCAGACACCUGUGACCCCUGUACAGUUUCUCUUCAGCACUAUGGCAAAAAUGACCCAGACUUCCCAACUCCGCACAGUGCAGAGGUUCAGUCUAGAACCCACAUGGUACAACCGGAGUCUGUCUACACCACUGGCUCCACUCUUGUGGCAGAGCCGGACUCUAAAGCUGAAAGGAUUGCUCGCUACAAGGCAGAACGGCGCCGUCAACUAGCAGAGCGCUAUGGCAUCUCUCUGGAUCAGGAGACAGAAACCGACUGUACCACUCGCUACUCCAGAACCUCCAGAGAGCCCGACGGCUCAGACCAACAACACAGGUCAAAGGCAGAAGGAGGAGACAGGGUGGAGCACAAUGCUUACACCACCAGCCAUCUUGUAGAUAGGGCCAGCUCUCACAUUCACACCGAUCCAGAGUACAGCCGAGAACGCACAGACUCCAUCUCUGAGCGCGAGAGGAUGAUGAAUCUGGAGAACCAGAGGAGGGCACAAGAGCGGGAUAGAUUGCAUGGAAGUGGAGGGGUUGCACCUGACCCGUCUGCAUAUAUGGAUGUGUCAGGGUCUGCCAGGGUUCCAGGGAGAGAACCAGGUGCCAUGGGGGUUCCCAGUUCGCCUAAUACAGGCCGAAGGGCCAUGAUGCCAUCUCCUAAACAGGGAGCAUCUCCCGGUGAUCUGUUUAUUGAGCAGCAGGCUCACAACAUCCUUCAAAGACACGGAAUCCGAGUUAGGGAGAAACUGGCCCGUGACGAGCCAUUUCACAGGGGUCAUACAACAGAGGUACCUGCGUACAACCAGUUUCCCCAGUCAUACCCUCGCUAUCACCCUCACACUCGGACCCUUGCUGAUGCUCCAGCCAAACAGCGCCUGACCCACCCUGGACAAGAGGAACGCCAUGACCUGGGGUGCCAGAGCUACUUUUCUAUGGGUGGCGAAUCUGGUUCCAGGCAUAAACAAGAGUUUCAGGAAGUACUUGAAGUUGAGGGAAAACAGGAUGUGAGGACUGAGGGGCUACUGCGGAGCAGGAAGGCCGUUUUACCCUCUGAGAUUCGACGGAAAGAACGGAGCACCGAAGACCCGUGCCUUGGAAGUGCUGACAACAUGGAGAUAAACCCAGGCAUCAGGAGCGAGGGUGUUGCAGAUGACCCCAGAGGGUGGCGUGGUGGUCGAUCAAGGCGGGAAGUUUACACAGAGCACGUGUCCCGUCUUCAGGCCACAGAGUCUAUGCAAGCAAGAGCUCGAGAGGCCCAUAAAAGGGCUGACGCUAGCUGCUACGCCCCAGUUCAUACCUCCAGUGGGAGAUAUAUGCCAAAUUCAUCCAAACCCCUGGAUGUUGGAAAUGUCCAAAAGACAGUUUUUCAACAGAACCCCAUCCAGGACCCAGUCAGAGAGGCUGUGCCCAAUGGCGAUCACCUAUCCCAUGAUGCCAGGGUUUCAGUAGCCCAACUCCGCCACACCUAUCUGGAAAGUGUUGCGAGUCCCCGGAAAGCCGAACUGGCAGAAGAGCUGCCUGUGGUCACAGAGGCACCCUGGAGAAGUGAGAGAGUCAAAGAUCGGUCAUCUCGUCGCCCUUUGCGGUAUAUAUGUCCUACUGAGAAUAGAAAGACAUCUGAGAGGUUUAGAACUCAGCCAAUCACAUCAACUGAGCGUGAACAGUCGGACCGGUCUUGCCUAAGCCCUGAACCACAGAGCCCUGAGGUGGAUGAAGAGAAGCUAGAUGAGAGAGCAAAGCUGAGUGUAGCUGCCAAGCGCUCUCUCUUCAGGGAGCUGGAGAAGACUUCAGAUGGUUCUGUUCUGAAGGCAUGGAGCCGUAAUCCUGCCAUUGAAAGGAGGUUGAGGAGAGGUCAGGAUCGCUCCCGCACUCAGCCAGUCACCUCAGAGGAAGUGGUCAUUGCUGCUACUGUCCCUGGCCACCCUGGCCAAACCUCUGUAGCACGUGUUCCUAGUCACACUGUAGUCAACAGCUCUGUGGCCAAAUUCAGCUUGCAGGCAUCUUCUCAGCAAAAGUCCAUGGUGAGGGAACAGGCCAGAGAGGUUCGGCUGGCUGAGGAGGGUGCGGAGACGGAUCGGGCUCGCCAUGCAUCUCCAGGGGAGGAUGGCCAAGAGGAGCCAGACCUUUCCACACUCACUCUGGCAGAGAAGAUGGCACUCUUCAAUCGCCUAGCACAGCCAUCCAGCCAUGGCCCUCGGGCCAAAGGAGACACUCGUGCACGCAGAAGUAACAGCCGGUACCAGACUCAGCCAAUCACACUUGGAGAGGUUGAACAGGAUGGUUCUGGUUCUGAGAUGUUUGACGAGGAAUCGGAGUUCUCAGAGGAUCUGAGUGAUCUGGAACAUCUGCAGCCUGCAGGUGGAGCUCGUUUUGCGUCCACCUCUUCCUCAGCCAUGAGAUCCUCCACUGUUUCCACUGAACAUGCUGGGGACAUACACUUGACCAUGUCCAGUGUAUCUGGCCCUGCCUACUAUGAGCAGACCCUCUCCCCACCUCACCACCCUCAACCUGCCCAAGAGAUCCAGACACACCAGAGCCCAGAUGUGUCCUCGGCAACCCAAAGAGAGAUGCUGGUAUUGAGCAUGGGGAAGAGGAAGCUCCCCUCUCCAGAGAGCAUGAAACAGACACCACACGCUCAGCCGGCCAGAGACUGGGAGGAGCUUAAAGGGCACAAUAAGGCUCUGUUGACCUCUCAAGACCUUUCAGAAACAGAUGGAGAGCACAAGUCAAAGGCAGCCAUGUCAGAUCUUCCUGUGCACACAGCCACAGUACGUGCCACGGCAGCUGUAUCACACGGCUUAUCCUCAUUACAGAGUGGCUCUCUUGCACAACACGCGCACGCACAGACACACGCAGAGUCAGCCGGACAACUUCUAGAGGACGACAGGAGAGAAGAGGAGCAGGACACAGACUUUAAAACAGAGGAAGGAGAAAAACUCUCAGACAUCAUGUCUGCCAGGCAGAUGUCCAUCAAAGAGAGACUGGCUCUAUUGAAGAAGAGUGGAGAGGAAGACUGGAGGAACAGGAUAAAUAAAAAACAGGAUGUGGUGCAGGUUGCUGUGUCUGAAAGACACGCCCAGCUAUGGGAAGUGGAGCAGAGCUUCAAGAAGAAGGAUGAUGGGAUGAUAGAUGACUUUGCCGUGUCUGAUCAACUCUGGGAUCCUGUCUUUUCCUCCUCCUUUUCAUGUGCAUCUGAACCACUGGAUCAAAUAGCAAUCCUCCCCAAGGCUACCCCCCUGCCCGUGCAGGUGGAUGAGCGUCACCCCUGGAGACGGAAGAGGAUGGGAAAUGAGGUUGCGGAGAGCCAGCGGAUUGAUCGAGUAGAGAUGUCUAUUCAGGAACGCAUGAAACUCAUCACCGCACAAGAGGAUGCGUGGAAGGUCAAAGGUUACAGAGCAGCCAAUGACUCCACUCAAUUUACAGUGGCUGGCCGUAUGGUUAAAAAAGGCCUGGCAGCCCCUUCUGUUCUCACAAAUCCAGUGCAGUCCCCUCUGUCCUCUAAAAAUAAGAAUGCCUCCCAUACAAUCUCAAAGCCACAUGAAGAGAUUGAAGUCAGACAGGACAUGAAGCUGGAGUCAGAUAAGAAGCUGGAAAAGUUGGAGUCAUUUCUUGGUCGUCUCAAUGGUAAAGUUUCAGGACUUCAGGAGGCCACAAUUGCAGUCACAGAGAAGUCCGUUAAAGAGGUCAUGACUCUGGAUGAUGAGACCUUCGAUAAGUUUUAUCGACACACAGAGGAUAUAGCCAAGAUUACCAGCAGUGUGGAAAUCAACGACGAUUUUGAUGACAUCUUUGGAGUGGAGCUGCCUAGGUUGACCUCAGAGAUGGUGCAACACAAGCGGGCGGUACGGCCCAACAGAAACGUUCAGUCAUCCAGAAACCCUCUGAAAAUGCUAGCUGUCCGGGAGGACAUAAGACACGAAUACACAGAACAGAGGCUAAACAUUGGCCUUCUGGAGAGCAAGAGGAUGAAACAGGAAAAGAUGAAUAAAAACAGCGGUUUCUCUGAGGUUGCUCUUGCUGGGUUGGCCAGUAAGGAAAACUUCAGCAGUGUGAGUCUGCGAAGUGUGAAUGCCUCUGAGCAGAGCUCCAACAACAGUGCCAUGCCCUAUAAAAAACUCAUGCUCAUUCAGGUCAAAGGUCGUCGGCACGUUCAGACCAGACUGGUUGAGCCCAGAUCUUCCUCUUUGAACAGUGGUGACUGCUUCCUCUUGAUCACACCCCAUCAUUGCUUCAUCUGGAUUGGAGAAUUUGCAAAUGUUAUCGAGAAGGCCAAAGCUGCAGAGUUGGCCACGUUCGUUCAGACCAAGCAUGACCUGGGAUGCAGAGCCUCAUAUGUGCAGACAAUUGAGGAAGGUGCCAACACUCACACUCAUGCUGCCAAAGAGUUUUGGAAGAUUCUCGGCGGCCAAGCCAAUUAUCAAGCUGCUGGCACUCCAGAGGAAGAUGAGUUCUAUGAGACUGCUGUCGUAGAAACCAACUGCAUCUAUAGGCUCAUGGAGGACAAACUUGUUCCUGAUGAUGAUUACUGGGGUCGAGUCCCUCGCUGCUCCAUGCUUAACUCUAAAGAAGUGCUGGUGUUUGAUUUUGGUAGCGAGGUCUACGUAUGGCAUGGUAAGGAGGUGACGCUGGCACAGAGAAAAGUGGCUUUUCAGCUGGCAAAGCACCUGUGGAAUGGCACCUUUGACUAUACCAACUGUGAUAUUAAUCCUCUGGACCCUGGAGAGUGCAACGCACUUAUACCCAGGAAAGGCCAGGGACGACCAGACUGGGCUGUGUUUGGCAGGUUAACUCAGCACAAUGAGACUACUCUUUUUAAAGAGAAGUUUUUGGACUGGAGCGACACCAAGAAAUCCUCUAAAAAGAAUGGUGACGCGCAUGUUGUUGAAAACAAGGAGCUUCGGAGCGGGGAAUGUCGGCCCUAUGAUGCGUCACUGAUGUUGUCAACAGUACGGACACCAGUCAAGACCGUUCUGGAUGGAGUCGAUGUCGGACGAGGUUAUGGACUGGUGGAAGGUGAUGAGGGGCGUAAUUUUGAGAUCAGCACAUUGUCUGUUGAUGUCUGGCACAUUCUAGAGUUUGACUAUAGUCGAUUACCUAAACAGAGCAUUGGUCAGUUCCAUGAAGGGGACACAUACGUGGUCAAAUGGAAGUACAUGAUCAGCACAGCUGUUGGCAAGAGGCUGCAUUCAGAACGGGUCAUUGGUCCAGGGAAGGAGAAAUGUUCUUAUUUCUUCUGGCAGGGUCGUAACUCCACGGUGAAUGAGAAGGGAACAUCAGCACUGAUGACUGUAGAGCUGGAUGAGGAGAGAGGUGCUCAGGUCCAGGUACAGCAGGGAAAGGAGCCUCCUUGUUUCCUACAGUGCUUCAAUGGAGGAAUGAUUGUUCAUGCUGGAAAGAGAGAAGAGGAGGAAGAAAAUUCACAAAAUGACUGGCGCUUAUACUGUGUGAGAGGAGAGAAACCCAUAGAGGGCCAUCUGCUGGAGGUGGUGUGCCACUGCAGCAGCCUACGGUCUCGCACCUCUUUGAUCCUCCUGAACAUCCCUAAAGCCAGCAUGUACCUGUGGCAUGGAUGCAAGGCGCAGACGCACACACGUGAUGUGGGCCGUACCGCUGCAAACAAAAUCAAAGAGCAGUGUCCUCUGGAGGCAGGGCUUCACAGCAGCAGUAAAGUGUCCAUCCAGGAGUGUGAUGAGGGAGCUGAACCACAAGGCUUCUGGGAGGCCUUGGGAAGGAGAGAUCGAAAGGCGUAUGACUGCAUGCUGCAGGAUCCGGGAAAGUUCAACUUCACUCCUCGGCUGUUCCAGUUAAGCAGUGCUUCAGGAGAGUUUGUGGCAGUGGAAUUUGUAUAUCCAUCCAGAGAACCAAAUUUGGUCAACUCGAUGCCAUUCCUACAGGAGGAUUUGUAUACAGCUACUCAGCCAGCCCUGUUUUUGGUGGACAAUCACCAUGAAGUUUACCUGUGGCAGGGCUGGUGGCCUCAGGACAGUGAGAGCACUGGAUCAGCUCGCAUACGAUGGGACUCUGACAGGAAGUGUGCCAUGGAAACUGUACUCCAAUAUAGCAAAGAAAAAAAUGAGAAGAAAACUCCAAAAUCAUACCUGAUCCACGCAGGGCUUGAGCCUCUUACCUUCACUAACAUGUUUCCUAGCUGGGAACACAGAGAGGACAUUGCUGAGAUCACAGAGAAGGAGGCUGAAGUAUGUAAUCAGAUCAUUCUUGUCGAAGACGUCUUGACUAGACUCUGCAAGACCAUUUACCCUUUGGCUGAUAUACAAGCCCGUCCCCUACCAGAAGGUGUUGACCCUCUACGUCUUGAGAUCUACCUAUCAGAUGAGGACUUUGAGUCUUGCGUCUGACUGAGGUUAAUUUUUCCCUUCACAUGCCAGGGUGUAGGGGCUUCUGGGAAGAAAGCAUUGGAGAUGACAAGAAGUGAAUAUGAGGCACUGCCAGGAUGGAAGCAAGUGAAUGUGAAGAAAGCCAAAGGAUUGUUUUAGAGGAACUAGAGGAAAUCUAACUGCACUGGAACUGCUGGUUGGGAUUGAAUUUGCAAGUGGAGACCUUCAUUCCUUUUUGAUUAAGACAGGACAAGCGCAAGUGAAGAAGAUCUACCCUGUGUCAAACCACACAGGCAGGUGAAAAGGAGCAUGUGGAAGAAGAAAAGACUGAGAUUGGCAAAGGUUUACCAGCCUCUUGUAGCACAUUUUUCCCAUUUUCUUCUUUUUUGUUUUUAUCGGUGAAUUAGUGAGAUUUUUUUGUUGUUGUUGUUGAAUGUUUUGAGUGCUUCCAGCUUGUUUUCCUCCCGUUUUUAUUGUUCUGCAUUGAUCUGUGUCCACUUAAAGCCAUUCACCGUCCAACAUGCACAAGGCAGCCCUCAUGCACUGCCCAGCUUAACAUCAUAAAGACACAAUAAAAAAAAGCCUUUUAGUAAUUUUCUGAAUGCAAGAAGGCUCAAAAGAGCACUUUAUGUAAGUACGUUCAUAUCUGCUCUCAUAAAUGACCUCAAGAUGUGUUUAACCUUCCAGACAGAUGCUUGAACUUGAGAACCCUACGUGUGUGUACAUGGGAAAGUGUUUGUGUAUCUAUACAGUGUGUGUGUGUCUCUUCGAAAAGGAUUGAAUGAAAUUGUGGAAUAAGAGAAAAUCUCUUUCUAUUAUGCGUUGUAUAGUGCCUUGCCUUCAUGUACAGUUUAUAUAAAGACAGAUGCUAGUCUGCAUUUUGAAGACAUAUUUGUGAUAUAAAUAAAUAUUGGUGCAAAUAAACACUGUAUAAUGUAGAUAAUA
Molecule: RNA transcript, 7830 nt
Organism: Megalobrama amblycephala (Wuchang bream)
Lineage: Eukaryota; Metazoa; Chordata; Actinopteri; Cypriniformes; Xenocyprididae
Gene: svila
Gene name: supervillin a
Exons: 43
Source: RefSeq, a predicted model, not a curated record